CAGUCGAGCGAGCUUGCCUAUUGAAUUCUUCGGAAUGGACAUAGAUACAAGCUAGCGGCGGAUGGGUGAGUAACGCGUGGGUAACCUGCCCUUAAGUCUGGGAUACCAUUUGGAAACAGAUGCUAAUACCGGAUAAAAGCUACUUUCGCAUGAAAGAAGUUUAAAAGGCGGCGUAAGCUGUCGCUAAAGGAUGGACCUGCGAUGCAUUAGCUAGUUGGUAAGGUAACGGCUUACCAAGGCGAUGAUGCAUAGCCGAGUUGAGAGACUGAUCGGCCACAUUGGGACUGAGACGCGGCCCAAACUCCUACGGGAGGCAGCAGUAGGGAAUCUUCCACAAUGGACGCAAGUCUGAUGGAGCAACGCCGCGUGAGUGAAGAAGGUUUUCGGAUCGUAAAGCUCUGUUGUUGGUGAAGAAGGAUAGAGGUAGUAACUGGCCUUUAUUUGACGGUAAUCAACCUGAAAGUCACGGCUAACUACGUGCCAGCAGCCGCGGUAAUACGUAGGUGGCAAGCGUUGUCCGGAUUUAUUGGGCGUAAAGCGAGCGCAGGCGGAUUGAUAAGUCUGAUGUGAAAGCCUUCGGCUCAACCGAAGAACUGCGUCAGAAACUGUCAAUCUUGAGUGCAGAAGAGGAGAGUGGAACUCCAUGUGUAGCGGUGGAAUGCGUAGAUAUAUGGAAGAACACCAGUGGCGAAGGCGGCUCUCUGGUCUGUAACUGACGCUGAGGCUCGAAAGCAUGGGUAGCGAACAGGAUUAGAUACCCUGGUAGUCCAUGCCGUAAACGAUGAGUGCUAAGUGUUGGGAGGUUUCCGCCUCUCAGUGCUGCAGCUAACGCAUUAAGCACUCCGCCUGGGGAG
RNAcentral lists this ribosomal RNA (854 nucleotides) under uncultured bacterium. RNAcentral's name for it is "bacterial SSU rRNA". It matches the Rfam family "Bacterial small subunit ribosomal RNA", at positions 59 to 880 of the family's 1533-position model. The record is from RNAcentral.